This 2339-nucleotide long non-coding RNA is filed under the name Equus asinus (donkey). RNAcentral's name for it is "lncRNA (ENSEASG00005031750.1, ENSEASG00020034165.1)". The record is from RNAcentral. Lineage: Eukaryota; Metazoa; Chordata; Mammalia; Perissodactyla; Equidae.
CCCCCCACAAACCUGCUUCUCCUCCUUCUUCUUUUCAAAGUAAAGGACCUCACCUUUCCUCAGGUGCUCAGACAAAAGCCUUGGGGUUGUCCUUCAUUCCCCACUUUAUCUCACAGCCCCAUCCAAUCCGUCUGCAAAUCCUAUCAGUUCUAGAAUCCAGGCACUUCUUCCCACCCUCCCCGCCACCCCCUGGUGUCUGAGCCACCAUCAUAUUCUGCCUGAUUUCCUGUUUUCACCCUGCAGUCUGUCCUCCCCACAGCAGCCUUUAAACCAUCGACCAUAUCCUCACCACAGCCUAAAAAGCCCCAUGAGAUCUGGCCACCAACCUGGCCCACUUCCCCCUCCGUCUCCACCCCUGGCACCCGGGUCUAGCCACUUUGACCAUUUUGCUCCUUCUGGGUCACGACCAACUCCUUCCGGUCUCAGAACACUUGUCUGCCUGGAGUGCUGUCCCCCAGAUCUUCCCGGACUGGUCCCAUUCUCAGUGCCUGGCCACCCAUUGCUUGGCACGUAGUAGCUGCUCACUAAACCAUCUACCGAACCCACAGGGAUGGGAUGGCAGGACAAGGGCCGAGAGUAGCAGGAGUGCCACGUCACCACCAGGUGGCGCUGCAGGCACGUCCCUGGGUGGUGACUUCGUGUCCAGCCUCCUGAUUCGUCCUCUCAGCAAAGCCUCCUAGGAGCUCUUGUGCCAGGCGGUGCCAUGGGGCACCAGCUGACUCAGCCCCGGCUCUGCCUGUCCUCCGGUGGCUAUUGGUGGACGUGGUCCAGGGCAUCCACAGAAGCCUGGAAGGAAGGGAGGGCUGGCUCCCACGGCCUGAACUUCUCUGGGGAGGGAGCAGAUGUGUAGGCGUGAGGGGGUGGGAGUGGGGAGAACUGGGGUUCAGCCAGAGCAAGGUGUCUGCGAUGAAGAGUUCUGGAGAGGCCUCGACGUCGAGUCCAUCCAUUGAGCCUGGGUUUGCAUCCCACCUCCUCUGGUCCUCUGCAUGCUUUUCACAAGCCUGGCUUGACUCUGCACCUCGGUUUCCUCAUCUGUCAACAGGGGAUAAAAAUGUGAGCAAGAACUGAACCCCUGUUUUGGGGAGCCGAGGUGGACUGCUCUAUUGGAAUGAGGCUGAGGAGCUUUUGGGGGGCCUCCCCGGUGGUGGGUGGUGUGUGCAUGGGAGUAGUGUGUGAGCUUGAGGGAAAGGCAGGUGGGCAGGAAACCAGCAGCCCCCCGGGGCCUCGGUCUCCUGUUCCAUCAAAGGGGGAAAGUGUCUAGGGCUUCCCCUGCCCUGAGGCCUGUGACCUGAAGAGAGUGUGUGUGUGUGUGUGAGAGUGUGUGUCCCUGGGUAUACGGAUGUGUCUAUGUAUGUCUGUGUUUGAGCGUGUGUGUCUGUGCAAAUGUGUCUGUACAUGUCCACACCUAGGAGCCCGUGGGUGAGGACAGGCAGCCUCUCAGCUUGGCAGAGGAGGAUCAGGGAUUCCAGCAAACCAGGGGCUCUCAUCUCCUCGGGGCCUGGAGCACCUGCUCAGUCAGUGCCUGGGGCAGUGCCCUGAGAGGGCACCAGGACAUCCCGCUUCUGCUGCAGCCGCCCAACCCCAGUAGCUGGAUCUUCUCUCUCCAUCUCUGCCCACGGAGCACCCUGUGCUUCCUGAUUUGUGUGGGUCUGCAUUCAGACCCCAGGGAUUAAGUUGGAGGGGCCAGUCUCCAGCAUCCUCACUUCCUCAUGUGGAAAGUCAGCCUGGCUCUUUUCCCGUCUCCAAAGAGACAAUUAUUAAGCACUUAAUGUGUGCCGGAUGCUUUAUACAUCUGGUCAGUACAUCCUCACAACAGCCCUUUAAGGUAGCUUUAUGCCCAUUUUACAGAAGAGAAAACUGAGGUUCAAAGAAAUGAAGUGACUUGGCUGAGAUCACACAGUAAGUGGGAUUCGAACCCAGCCUGGGUGGACUUUCUGCUGACACAGCUGGGUUGUGGGAGUGGGAAGGGGGCACAGGUUCCCUCUUCUCGGCUCCUGCUUUCCUGGGAAUGGCCAUCUGCCCGGCCGCCUGGCUCUUGGUAUUUUGGCUCGAGUGACCUCCAGGGGAAACGGCGGUGGGUGGAUAGGGGCAGAAGGCAAAGGAGCUGCUGAGGUUUUUGGAGUUCCUGAGCUGAUUCUGGCUUCUCUCCACACAACCACCCCAGGCUGGCCAGGAGGUUUCUCCGCAGUUCUUUCUCCCAGACAAGCAAGCUAAGUCAGCCAUCUCCCAACUCCUGACGGCCCUGCCCAGACAGUCUGAAGAGGCCAUCCUUCUAGGCCCAGCUUCAAGGCCACUUCUUCCUGGAGGCCUUCCCGGAUGGAUGCCCCAUCAGAAGUGGC